GCUGCGUUGGCCGAGUGGUUAAGGCGUUGGACUCGAAAUCCAAUGGGAUAUUCCCGCGCAGGUCGAAUCCUGUUCGUAGCG
This is a non-coding RNA of Ciona savignyi (Pacific transparent sea squirt), 81 nucleotides long. Lineage: Eukaryota; Metazoa; Chordata; Ascidiacea; Phlebobranchia; Cionidae. The record is from Rfam.